GCCUGGGUGGCUCAGUUGGUUGAGCAUCCGACUUCGGCUCAGGUCAUGAUCUCACGGUCUGUGGGUUCGAGCCCCGCGUCGGGCU
This 85-nucleotide transfer RNA is filed under the name Felis catus (domestic cat). It matches the Rfam family "tRNA". From Rfam's summary of the family: Transfer RNA (tRNA) molecules are approximately 80 nucleotides in length. Their secondary structure includes four short double-helical elements and three loops (D, anti-codon, and T loops). The record is from Rfam by way of RNAcentral. Lineage: Eukaryota; Metazoa; Chordata; Mammalia; Carnivora; Felidae.